Molecule: transfer RNA, 74 nt
Filed under: Candidatus Woesearchaeota archaeon
Lineage: Archaea; Nanobdellati; Candidatus Woesearchaeota
Description: tRNA-Pro
Rfam family: tRNA
About the family: Transfer RNA (tRNA) molecules are approximately 80 nucleotides in length. Their secondary structure includes four short double-helical elements and three loops (D, anti-codon, and T loops). Further hydrogen bonds mediate the characteristic L-shaped molecular structure. tRNAs have two regions of fundamental functional importance: the anti-codon, which is responsible for specific mRNA codon recognition, and the 3' end, to which the tRNAs corresponding amino acid is attached (by aminoacyl-tRNA synthetases). tRNAs cope with the degeneracy of the genetic code in two manners: having more than one tRNA (with a specific anti-codon) for a particular amino acid; and 'wobble' base-pairing, i.e. permitting non-standard base-pairing at the 3rd anti-codon position.
Source: RNAcentral
GGGGCUGUGGGGUAACCUGGCUAGCCUUCGAGGUUUGGGACCUUGCGAUCCCGGUUCGAAUCCGGGCAGCCCCA